GGCCCGGUGGUCAAGCGGUUAAGACACCGCCCUUUCACGGCGGUAUCACGGGUUCGAUUCCCGUCCGGGUCA
Molecule: transfer RNA, 72 nt
Filed under: Enterococcus hirae
Lineage: Bacteria; Bacillati; Bacillota; Bacilli; Lactobacillales; Enterococcaceae
Also listed under: 3 other names
Description: tRNA-Glu
Rfam family: tRNA
About the family: Transfer RNA (tRNA) molecules are approximately 80 nucleotides in length.
Source: RNAcentral